Long non-coding RNA from Homo sapiens (human), 464 nucleotides. NCBI's taxonomy places the organism in Eukaryota, Metazoa, Chordata, Mammalia, Primates, Hominidae. The record is from Ensembl.
UUGGAAGUGAAUUAAGACCCUCUCUUGGAUACCAGCUGUGAAAGAACGGACUUUUUUUACCUAGUAAGGAUGUGACAGACCUGCUCCUGACCCUUCUUUGUUAGUGGCCAGUAAAUAUACGCAAGGCAAAGUCCCACCCUAGUUUUGAAAAAAGCCAAACUAACAACUCUGCCCAAUUUCAAGGAACCGAUAUAAUUUUCAGUACAUGAGUGUGAUUUAGAAAUGGAAACAACAUCAGAGCAGGGUUAAAUCAACAACCAAGCCAUAGACCUUAAAAGGACCAGACUUCAUGGUUCAAUGAUGCCAAGAAAAAGAUUCCACCUAUAAACUCUUUAGAAAGUAACCACCUCAGAAAGUUCCAGACAAACCAGUUCUGCUUUGCAGAUCAGCCCUGUAUAAAGCUCUUACCACAUUAGUAAGAAGUUACUUGUGCUUUGGUUACAAACAGGCACAAUUAAAGGGAA